UUGACCUCAAAUCGGGUGAGACUACCCGCUGAACUUAAGCAUAUCAAUAAGCGGAGGAAAAGAAACUAACAAGGAUUCCCCUAGUAACUGCGAGUGAAGCGGGAAAAGCUCAAAUUUAAAAUCUGGUGGCUUUUCUGCCAUCCGAGUUGUAAUUUAGAGAAGCGUCUAUCCGCG
This 174-nucleotide ribosomal RNA is filed under the name uncultured fungus. RNAcentral's name for it is "partial 28S ribosomal RNA". It matches the Rfam family "Eukaryotic large subunit ribosomal RNA", at positions 1 to 170 of the family's 3401-position model. The record is from RNAcentral. Lineage: Eukaryota; Fungi.